CUCCGUCUACUGCACCAACACCAAUUGGCGGAUUGCUGGAGAGCGCUGAACCCAACAACGCGGGACUACACGUUUUACUCACAGACCCAUGCAACAUACACGAGGCUAGACUACUUCUUACUAGCACACCACGACUUGGCCCUACUCAAGGCAGCAGACAUACUGCCGAUGACGUGGUCGGACCACUGCCCGAUCCGUAUACGGAUGGCAUCACCGUUAUUUAAACCCAGACAGAUGUCCUGGAGACUGAACGAAUCAAUUCUAUCGGAUGUGACAGUGGCUGAUAAAAUAGGCCAAACCAUACGAGACUACUUCCAAGAUAAUGAAACGGAGGACGUGACACCAAUGACAUGCUGGGAAGCACACAAGACGGUAGCAAGAGGCCAGAUUAUAGCAAUAUGCGCGAAUCGCAAAAAGACGGCGGUACGGGAAAUAACCAGGCUGAGCAGCGAAAUUGCGACCCUGGAAGCCAGACAUAAAAGAACCUUAGAAACAACAAUAUACAGAGAGCUAACAGAUAAACGCAACCAGCUCACAGCGCACCUUAACAGGAGGAUCCAACGCGUGUACGAACACUACAGACACAUGAUACAUGAACACGGAGACAAGUGCGGGAGACUGCUGGCGAAUCUCCUGAGGCAACGUAAGACACAACUGUAUAUACCGAAAAUAAAAAACGCACAGCAGCAAAUCAGACACCUCCCAGAACAAAUAGCAACGGAGUUCCAACGAUACUACCAGGACCUUUACCACCUCCGCAAGGAAGCACAGGACGACCAGAGACAUCAGAAAACGGCAGACAUACGCCAGUACCUGAACUCAGCAAACAUGCCAGAUAUAACGGAAGCAGAGAAAGACGCACUAGAAGCGCCUAUAACAC
Molecule: non-coding RNA, 880 nt
Organism: Pelobates cultripes (western spadefoot toad)
Lineage: Eukaryota; Metazoa; Chordata; Amphibia; Anura; Pelobatidae
Source: the annotation of a GenBank genome assembly